Molecule: unclassified non-coding RNA, 327 nt
Filed under: uncultured Pseudoalteromonas sp.
Lineage: Bacteria; Pseudomonadati; Pseudomonadota; Gammaproteobacteria; Alteromonadales; Pseudoalteromonadaceae
Description: partial 16S-23S ribosomal RNA intergenic spacer
Source: RNAcentral
CCUCCUUAUACGACUUAGAACUUAUUUGUUCGUAGUGUCCACACAGAUGAUUGUUAGUUAGUUUUACCCUUUGGGUUUAACUGAUUAAUAUGCUCUUUAAAAAUUUGGAAAAGCUGAUAAUAAAAUUCUGAUAAAUAUUCGUAUUUAUCAAGAGUUUUCAAAAGUAAAAAAGAAUGAUAGCAGUAUCAUUCAGUGCCAAUUUAAUCAUUCAUGAUUAAUUGGUAUCUACUUUAGUAUUCAAUAUUAACUUCUGGCGAAGUUAAACUGUCACUAACAAAGACCCGUUUGGGUUGUAUGGUUAAGUGACUAAGCGUACACGGUGGAUGC